Molecule: ribosomal RNA, 371 nt
Filed under: uncultured bacterium
Lineage: Bacteria
Description: bacterial SSU rRNA
Rfam family: Bacterial small subunit ribosomal RNA
Source: RNAcentral
ACGUAGGGUGCGAGCGUUAAUCGGAAUUACUGGGCGUAAAGCGUGCGCAGGCGGUCUGUUAAGACAGGCGUGAAAUCCCCGGGCUCAACCUGGGAAUGGCGCUUGUGACUGGCAGGCUAGAGUGUGUCAGAGGGGGGUGGAAUUCCACGUGUAGCAGUGAAAUGCGUAGAGAUGUGGAGGAACACCGAUGGCGAAGGCAGCCCCCUGGGAUAACACCGACGCUCAUGCACGAAAGCGUGGGGAGCAAACAGGAUUAGAUACCCUGGUAGUCCACGCCCUAAACGAUGUCGACUGGUUGUUGGAAGGGUAACCUUUUAGUAACGAAGCUAACGCGUGAAGUUGACCGCCUGGGGAGUACGGCCGCAAGGUUG